Molecule: ribosomal RNA, 407 nt
Filed under: uncultured bacterium
Lineage: Bacteria
Description: partial 16S ribosomal RNA
Rfam family: Bacterial small subunit ribosomal RNA
Source: RNAcentral
GACGAACGCUGGCGGCGUGCCUAACACAUGCAAGUAGGACGCAGUCUCGAACGGGUGAGUAACGCGUACGUAACUGACUAUUAGAGGGGGAUAACAAUUGGAAACGAUAGCUAAUUACGCUUACUAGUAGAAGGACCUGCGUUGUAUUAGCUAGUAGGUUGGGUAAGGGCCCACCUAGGCAACGAUACAUAGCCGACCUGAGAGGGUGAUCGGCCACACUGGGAAUGAGACAAGGCCCAGACUCCUACGGGAGGCAGCAGUAGGGAAUCUUCGGCAAUGGGGGGAACCCUGACCGAGCAACGCCGCGUGAGUGAAGAAGGUUUUCGGAUCGUAAAGCUCUGUUGUUAGGGAAGCGGUACUUAACCAGAAAGAGACGGCUAACUACGUGCCAGCAGCCGCGGUAAUAC